GCCGGGUGUGGUGGCGCACACUUGUAAUCCCAGCAGGAGGCUGAGCAGGAGGACCAUGAGUUCAAAGCCGGCCUCAGCAAUGGCCAGGUGCUAAGCAACUCAGUGAGACCCUGUCUCUA
Molecule: small RNA, 119 nt
Filed under: Marmota monax (woodchuck)
Lineage: Eukaryota; Metazoa; Chordata; Mammalia; Rodentia; Sciuridae
Source: RNAcentral